CCUACGGGUGGCAGCAGUGAGGAAUAUUGGUCAAUGGUCGGGAGACUGAACCAGCCAAGCCGCGUGAGGGAUGAAGGUACUGUGUGUUGUAAACCCCUUUUGUCCGGGAACAAAGGCGGGGACGUGUCGACGGUUGAGUGUACCUGAAGAAUACGCAUCGGCUAAUUCCGUGCCCGCAGCCGCGGUAAUACGGAGGAUGCGGGCGUUAUCCGGCUUUAUUGGGUUUAAAGGGUGGGCAGGCGGGUCGUUAAGUGAGCCGUGAAAGUCUGUGGCUCAACCACGGGCGGGCGGUGGAAACUGGAAGUCUAGAGUGGGAGGGAGGCAGGCGGAAUUCGUGGUGUAGCGGUGAAAUGCAUAGAUAUCGCGCAGAACACCGAUUGCGAAGGCAGCAUGCCGGCUCCACACUGACGCUGAGGCACGAAAGCGUGGGUAUCGAACAGGAUUAGAUACCCGAGUAGUC
RNAcentral lists this ribosomal RNA (460 nucleotides) under uncultured bacterium. RNAcentral describes it as "partial 16S ribosomal RNA". It matches the Rfam family "Bacterial small subunit ribosomal RNA", at positions 338 to 795 of the family's 1533-position model. The record is from RNAcentral.